ACACGGACCAAGGAGUGCAACAUGCGUGCGAGUCUUUGGGUGACAAACCCGCCGGCGCAAUGAAAGUGAAGGCAGACGUGCGUCUGCCGAGGUGAGAACCCCCGUCCAUGGGGGCGCAUCAUCGACCGAUCCCAGGCUACGCUGUAGCGGGAUUUGAGUGAGAGCGUGCCUGUUGCGACCCGAAAGAUGGUGAACUAUGCCUGAAUAGGGUGAAGCCAGAGGAAACUCUGGUGGAAGCUCGUAGCGAUUCUGACGUGCAAAUCGAUCGUCAAAUUUGGGUAUAGGGGCGAAAGACUAAUCGAACCAUCUAGUAGCUGGUUCCCUCCGAAGUUUCCCUUAGGAUAGCUGGAGCCCGGUGCAGUUUUAUCAGGUAAAGCGAAUGAUUAGAGGUCUUGGGGUUGAAACAACCUCAACCUAUUCUCAAACUUUAAAUGGGUAAGAAGCCCGGCUUGCUUGGUUGAAGUCGGGCAUGGAAUGCCGGGGCUCUUAGUGGGCCAUUUUUGGUAAGCAGAACUGGCGAUGCGGGAUGAACCGAAUGCGGGGUUAAGGUGCCCGAGUCGACGCUCAUCAGAUACCAUGAAAGGUGUUGGUUGAUCUAGACAGCAGGACGGUGGCCAUGGAAGUCGGAAUCCGCUAAGGAGUGUGUAACAACU
Molecule: ribosomal RNA, 653 nt
Filed under: Polymastia boletiformis
Lineage: Eukaryota; Metazoa; Porifera; Demospongiae; Polymastiida; Polymastiidae
Description: eukaryotic LSU rRNA
Rfam family: Eukaryotic large subunit ribosomal RNA
Source: RNAcentral